Molecule: long non-coding RNA, 1076 nt
Organism: Dreissena polymorpha
Lineage: Eukaryota; Metazoa; Mollusca; Bivalvia; Myida; Dreissenidae
Exons: 3
Source: RefSeq, a predicted model, not a curated record
UCAAUAUUGGUAAGUAACAUCAACAAAAUAACGCUGUGGUGAUAUGUUGCACACAGAACAAAGCCAACAGACAAGAUGCCUGGAUCAUUUGGAUUGUUUCUCUGUGUUUUAUAUAUCGGAGCAACAGUAUCUCACAUCAGAGAUUGCAGUAAUGACGCAAAUGUUUCCUUCUCCUCGAAUCUACAGAAUAUAAGGGGUGCAUACUAUCGUCUCUACAGCCUUGACCCCACCAAGAACGAGACGGCAUGUGAAUGGGACGGUCAACACCUCGUAUGCCUCACGAAGUGUGUCGGUGACUUUUGUAACGGUCCGAUUCUCGCAGAAGCUUGUGCUGCGCAGGCGAAAACUUUGAUCACACUUAUGUCAUUUAUUUGCUUUGCAUUUUCGUGGCGUUAGUUUGAUUUGUCUUUUAUUGUGUUGUAAAAAGUAUACGUGGCUUAAAUAUCAAUGUAAAUAAUCAAAUAGUAUCAAAAGAAAAAAAUCGCAAAUUGAUACUUCGGCUUAUAGUAUUUUUGAUAAAUUGGUUAUUUCCACAUUUAUUUAACAUUCUAAGGGCACGUGAAAUUAAUUAGUAAUAAAGAUUUUCAUCGGAUAUGCCGCAGAUUGAAUUCGUAAAAUGAAAUUACACUAUUUGUAUUGAAAUAGUGCCCGAAGUGUCCACUUUGCCAUCCACAUUUUUUUAACGUAGAAGAGCAAUUAGAUUUGUGGUACUGACCAAAUCACAAGACACGCAUUACUUAGUACAAAUAUAACUUUUCCUUAAAACUACUCUUCUUUUUUAAUGAACUUAUGAGUGAUCUGAUUUAAAUGUGAUGCUAUGAUGUUAAUGUUUCCUAACAACAUAAGGUUUUGCGAAUUACUCGGGGACGAUUCUGAGGUUAGGAGCUUCAUUGAACCGGUUAAACCUCAGUGCUUUCCUAUGGCGGUUCAAAAACGCUGACGUCAGUUUUAUUCAUGUAUGCGUCUGGUUGUUGCGUGUUUUUUGUGUGUGUAAUGCUUAUAUUCCGAUGUAGACUGUUUGUUAUUUGGCCACUUAAUACAUGAUAUCCGUUGUAUAUUAAACUCUCUUCAGCCGA